GGAAGGAUCAUUGUCGUGACCCUAACCAAAACAGACCGCGCACGCGUCAUCCAUGCCGCCGGGCGGCAGCCGCCGCUCGGCCCAGGCCCGACCUCCCCGGAGGGCGGGCCGCAACAGAACCCACGGCGCCGACGGCGUCAAGGAACACUGUGCCUACUAACCGGGGGCGCGAACGGCCCGGCCAGCCGGCGCCGGUCGCCCCCCGCGUUGCUACGCUAUCUAAUAAUCCACAUGACUCUCGGCAACGGAUAUCUCGGCUCUCGCAUCGAUGAAGAACGUAGCGAAAUGCGAUACCUGGUGUGAAUUGCAGAAUCCCGCGAACCAUCGAGUCUUUGAACGCAAGUUGCGCCCGAGGCCUUCGGGCCGAGGGCACGCCUGCCUGGGCGUCACGCCAAAAGACGCUCCCCACCCCCCCUCGGCGGGGCGGAGGACGCGGCGUUUGGCCCCCCGUGCCGCACGGCGCGGUGGGCCGAAGUUCGGGCUGCCGGCGCAGCACGCCGGGCACAGCACAAGGUGGGCGAUCUCGCACUCUCUUACGUGCAGUGCCCCGGCGUGUAGCCGGCGCAGCGGCCCAGGGACCCAUCGACCGGAGCGCACGUCGCUCGGACCGCGACCCCAG
Molecule: ribosomal RNA, 619 nt
Filed under: Fargesia qinlingensis
Lineage: Eukaryota; Viridiplantae; Streptophyta; Magnoliopsida; Poales; Poaceae
Description: eukaryotic LSU rRNA
Rfam family: 5.8S ribosomal RNA (bases 234-389)
Source: RNAcentral